Molecule: unclassified non-coding RNA, 1657 nt
Filed under: Hevea brasiliensis (rubber tree)
Lineage: Eukaryota; Viridiplantae; Streptophyta; Magnoliopsida; Malpighiales; Euphorbiaceae
Source: RNAcentral
CAUAUGCGUUGUUAUACGAAAACAAGGGAAAAUAGAUAGGAAACAAGGAAAAGGGAUGGAAGUGAGAGGAAAGGGUACCGAGAAAGUGAGAGAAGAGGAAAUCCAGAGUUUUUCCAUUAUGAAAGAAUGAAAUGAUGAGAAUGCUUACUGACGCACAAUAACGCUACGCGCACAUUUUAGUAGUGCUUAAACAUACCCAUAUAAACUGUUAUUUUAUUAAUAAUAAUAAUAAUAUCGGAAGAAAAGUAGGGAAAAAAAUAAUAAUGGAUGCAUGUAUGGAAAUUUAAGAAACCAAUGCUACCAUUUGUUAACGAUGAAGAUGGCAUCCACCACUAGAACCCAUUUGUGGUAGAUCCAUACCAAGUUACAGGAGUCGGAAUGUGGUUUAUGGACUCUAACUUGACUUUUUCCAGGGGUUCUCCCCAUAGUAGAAAGCAGUUCCAACCAUAAGUGCAACAGUAGCUCCUUGGACCACCACCCUAGCUCUCAUUAAAAGCUGACCCAAUUGAGAAUUGCCUUGCCUGAAACUGAUUAAGCCAGCUGUAAGCACUCCAGCUGUCAUAAGCGCACCUGCAAUAUUUACAUAUAAUACAUAUCAGCCAAAAAGAGGCUAAAUGCCAAAGUGUUUUACGAUAUCAUACAUGCUAAUGGUAGCUUUAUCAUAAGCAAGAUUAAAUUUCAAGCUUUUGACAACCAGCUUGACCACCAUUGAGCUCAUGAGGCGAUUCAAGAAAAGAGUUGAGAAUGGAAUUGCAAGCCACAAGAACUUGCAAGCAGAUAAAAAAAAAAAAAUCCUGCAGCCAUUUAUGUCAUUCAAAAUCUACAUUAAAUCCACUGAUCAAACAACAUUCCUAUGCAUAACCCACUGUGGUUUCCAGGACAUUCCCUGAUUUACAUGCAAAGGAAAAAAGGAUAACUGCUCUCAUCUUUAAAAUAUUUGAUCAUUUUGGGAAUCAACCAACCAUGAUAAAAAUACUAGUGUAAGAUGUGACAAUGGAAUAUCCUAGUGUUUUUAACAUGAAUUGAAAUCCCCUCUAAUGCCAUUUUCAAAGGAGGUAGCAAGCAUCUUUUGCAUCCAGAGCACAUUUGCAACUGGCUCACAAAAAUAACCAUGCAAGCAUCUUACAUUCUUUUAUUAUCCGCUUACAUAACCUAUCAGGACUGGUAGCUUACUUAUCAAUCUGCAACAUUGUUCCUCUUUUCUCCCUUUUUCCCCCUUUAAUUAAUAAAAUCUUUCAAUUUGAUUAUUCAAGAAAAAUGAUAAGUUUGUCUUUCACAUCAAUGGCUCACUCCAACGCAUUUUCAUCACCAAAAUGUCUAAAUAUGUAUUGAGGAAUAUCGUUCUCACUAGCAAAAUGAGGGUAAAAAGGGAGAAAAGUCCAUUUUCUUCAAAAAAAAAGCAAAGAAAUAUUCAAAUUUCUCGGGACAAAAUCCAUUCUCAUAUCAGUAAUUCAUUUCCUUAUUUGCAAAUCUUCAAUUCAUAUGUAAAACUUAGAACUUGAAAACAUAACGUAAUGCAAUUUUUGUGAAGUAUUUUUGCUCAAACAAUUUGCUGUAGUGACUAGGUGCUACUUAUGCACAGCAAAAAAAAAAAAGCAUCAAAUCAUUCUAAAGUUGUGCUUCAAAUUGAGCAUAGGGUCACAUAGGAUCAUCUAAA